UACAGAGGGGGCAAGCGUUGUUCGGAAUUACUGGGCGUAAAGGGCACGUAGGCGGCCGCCUAAGUCAGACGUGAAAUCCCUCGGCUCAACCGGGGAACUGCGUCUGAUACUGGGUGGCUUGAAUCCGGGAGAGGGAUGCGGAAUUCCAGGUGUAGCGGCGAAAUGCGUAGAUAUCUGGAGGAACACCGGUGGCGAAGGCGGCAUCCUGGACCGGCAUUGACGCUGAGGCGCGAAAGCCAGGGGAGCAAACGGG
Molecule: ribosomal RNA, 253 nt
Filed under: uncultured bacterium
Lineage: Bacteria
Description: partial 16S ribosomal RNA
Rfam family: Bacterial small subunit ribosomal RNA
Source: RNAcentral